AAUCAACCGUCUUUAAGAUCCAAGAGCAAACCGUCUUAGAAAAUUAAACGCAAAAAAUUUGAUUCAGAAAAAAUGUCAACUUCCAAUUGUAUAAACAACAAAACUUUAUCAACUGUUCGAUGGACUAAAUUAUAUUAUUUACUUCUAAACUAUCUCAAAAAAGUUUAGCCAAUAAUUUUUUAUGACAACAAAAUCCUAUAAUAUCUUUAAGAGAAAAAUAUAACUUCUUGAACGUUGUCCUUAAUCUACGGC
RNAcentral lists this long non-coding RNA (252 nucleotides) under Elaeis guineensis (African oil palm). RNAcentral describes it as "long non-coding RNA (EGUI_LNC017812)". The record is from RNAcentral. Lineage: Eukaryota; Viridiplantae; Streptophyta; Magnoliopsida; Arecales; Arecaceae.